RNAcentral lists this ribosomal RNA (463 nucleotides) under Carlia dogare. Its description in RNAcentral is "partial 16S ribosomal RNA". It matches the Rfam family "Bacterial large subunit ribosomal RNA", at positions 1843 to 2561 of the family's 2925-position model. The record is from RNAcentral. Lineage: Eukaryota; Metazoa; Chordata; Lepidosauria; Squamata; Scincidae.
GUAUUAAAGGUGCUGCCUGCCCAGUGAAAUAAUUUUAACGGCCGCGGUAUCCUAACCGUGCAAAGGUAGCGUAAUCACUUGUCUUUUAAAUAGAGACUCGUAUGAAAGGCUAAAUGAAGACGAAACUGUCUCUUAUAGUUGACCAGUUAAACUGAUUUCCAAGUACAAAAGCUUGGAUAAACACAUAAGACGAGAAGACCCUGUGGAGCUUUAAACUAACACUAUAACAACAAAAUAGCACAAGUUUUAAGUUGGGGCGACUUCGGAACAAAACAAAACUUCCGAGCACAGAGCCACCCACUCUAACCUAGACCAACAAGUCAAAGAACAAUAAUGACCCAGUUAUUCUGAUCAACGAACCAAGUUACCCCAGGGAUAACAGCGCUAUCUUCUUCAAGAGUCCAUAUCGACAAGAAGGUUUACGACCUCGAUGUUGGAUCAGGACACCCAAAUGGUGCAGCAG